GGAUGAAGAACGUAGCGAAAUGCGAUAACUAAUGUGAAUUGCAGAAUUCCGUGAAUCAUCGAGUCUUUGAACGCACAUUGCGCCCCCUGGUAUUCCGGGGGGCAUGCCUGUCCGAGCGUCAUUACAACCCUCAAGCCCGGCUUGUGUAAUGGGCGGCCGUCUCUCCCCCCGGGGGGAGACGCCCCCGAAACUCAGUGGGGAUGUCGCGAUACCGAAGCCUCAGCUAAUGGGUAAACCACAGCUGCAAUGGCCGCGGCCGGCGUCCGCCUUCCACGGUCCGUCCGCCUAGCGCGGGCGGCCUUCUCAAGGUUGACCUCGGAUCAGGUAGGGAUACCCGCUGAACUUAAGCAUAUCAAUAAGCGGAGGA
This 367-nucleotide unclassified non-coding RNA is filed under the name soil metagenome. RNAcentral's name for it is "partial contains 5.8S ribosomal RNA, internal transcribed spacer 2, and large subunit ribosomal RNA". The stretch from base 2 to 121 matches the Rfam family "5.8S ribosomal RNA", at positions 35 to 154 of the family's 154-position model. The record is from RNAcentral.